GCUCGUAUGGCGCAGUGGUAGCGCAGCAGAUUGCAAAUCUGUUGGUCCUUAGUUCGAU
Molecule: transfer RNA, 58 nt
Filed under: Saccharomyces cerevisiae YJM1402
Lineage: Eukaryota; Fungi; Ascomycota; Saccharomycetes; Saccharomycetales; Saccharomycetaceae
Description: tRNA-Cys
Rfam family: tRNA
About the family: Transfer RNA (tRNA) molecules are approximately 80 nucleotides in length. Their secondary structure includes four short double-helical elements and three loops (D, anti-codon, and T loops).
Source: RNAcentral